RNAcentral lists this ribosomal RNA (253 nucleotides) under uncultured bacterium. RNAcentral describes it as "partial 16S ribosomal RNA". It matches the Rfam family "Bacterial small subunit ribosomal RNA", at positions 524 to 776 of the family's 1533-position model. The record is from RNAcentral.
UACGUAGGUGGCGAGCGUUGUCCGGAUUUAUUGGGCGUAAAGGGUGCGUAGGUGGUUGGGUAAGUCUGAUGUGAAAUCUCCGGGCUCAACCCGGAAAUGGCAUUGGAUACUAUCCAGUUGGAGGGUCGGAGGGGGGACUGGAAUUCUUGGUGUAGCAGUGAAAUGCGUAGAUAUCAGGAGGAACACCGAUGGCGAAGGCAGGUCUCUGGGCUGACACUGACGCUCAUGCACGAAAGCGUGGGGAGCAAACAGG